CUUUUCAGAGGAAUUUGCUCUUUAAUGGAUAAAACACCAAAAUCUUACUUAGAUUUGUGAUUUCAAUUUGUAUACCACUAUAAAAACAAUUUAUAACUCUAAUUGUUUAAAUUUACAAAAUUAAAAUAUAUUAAGUCAAGGUGCAGUAAAAAUUUAAGAAUGAAGUGAAUUACAUUACUUUUUAGUGAAAUAAAUUUAUAAUAAUACUUAGGAUUUGAAAGUAAAAUUAAAAUAGGAUGUUAAUUU
RNAcentral lists this ribosomal RNA (246 nucleotides) under Rhipicephalus afranicus. Its description in RNAcentral is "partial small subunit ribosomal RNA". Lineage: Eukaryota; Metazoa; Arthropoda; Arachnida; Ixodida; Ixodidae. The record is from RNAcentral.